RNAcentral lists this ribosomal RNA (398 nucleotides) under uncultured bacterium. RNAcentral describes it as "partial 16S ribosomal RNA". It matches the Rfam family "Bacterial small subunit ribosomal RNA", at positions 523 to 918 of the family's 1533-position model. The record is from RNAcentral.
AUACGUAGGGUGCGAGCGUUGUCCGGAAUUACUGGGCGUAAAGAGCUCGUAGGUGGUUUGUCGCGUCGUCUGUGAAAUUCCGGGGCUUAACUCCGGGCGUGCAGGCGAUACGGGCAUAACUUGAGUACUGUAGGGGAGACUGGAAUUCCUGGUGUAGCGGUGAAAUGCGCAGAUAUCAGGAGGAACACCGGUGGCGAAGGCGGGUCUCUGGGCAGUAACUGACGCUGAGGAGCGAAAGCAUGGGUAGCGAACAGGAUUAGAUACCCUGGUAGUCCAUGCCGUAAACGGUGGGCGCUAGGUGUAGGGGUCUUCCACGACUUCUGUGCCGUAGCUAACGCAUUAAGCGCCCCGCCUGGGGAGUACGGCCGCAAGGCUAAAACUUAAAGGAAUUGACGGAG